This 253-nucleotide ribosomal RNA is filed under the name uncultured bacterium. Its description in RNAcentral is "partial 16S ribosomal RNA". It matches the Rfam family "Bacterial small subunit ribosomal RNA", at positions 524 to 776 of the family's 1533-position model. The record is from RNAcentral.
CACGUAGGGCGCAAGCGUUGUCCGGAAUUAUUGGGCGUAAAGAGCUCGUAGGUGGUUUGUUACGUCUGCUGUGAAAACCUAGGGCUUAACCCUGGGCUUGCAGUGGAUACGGGCAGACUAGAGGUAGGUAGGGGAGAAUGGAAUUCCUGGUGUAGCGGUGAAAUGCGCAGAUAUCAGGAGGAACACCGGUGGCGAAGGCGGCCUUCUGGACAGUGACUGACGCUGAGACGCGAAAGCGUGGGGAGCAAACAGG